RNAcentral lists this ribosomal RNA (605 nucleotides) under uncultured Cryptococcus. RNAcentral's name for it is "eukaryotic LSU rRNA". It matches the Rfam family "Eukaryotic large subunit ribosomal RNA", at positions 74 to 670 of the family's 3401-position model. The record is from RNAcentral. Lineage: Eukaryota; Fungi; Basidiomycota; Tremellomycetes.
AUUCCCUAGUACGGCGAGUGAACCGGGAAGAGCUCAAAUUUGAAAUCUGGCGUCCUCAGGGCGUCCGAGUUGUAAUCUAUAGAGGCGUUUUCCGUGCCGGACCGUGUCCAAGUUCCUUGGAACAGGAUAUCAAAGAGGGUGACAAUCCCGUACUUGACACGACGACCGGUGCUCUGUGAUACGUCUUCUACGAGUCGAGUUGUUUGGGAAUGCAGCUCAAAAUGGGUGGUGAGUUCCAUCUAAAGCUAAAUAUUGGCGAGAGACCGAUAGCGAACAAGUACCGUGAGGGAAAGAUGAAAAGCACUUUGGAAAGAGAGUUAAACAGUACGUGAAAUUGUUGAAAGGGAAACGAUUGAAGUCAGUCGUGACCGAGAGGCUCAGCCGGCUCUGCCGGUGUAUUCCCCUCGGUCGGGUCAACAUCAGUUUUGUCCGGUGGAUAAGGGCGGUAGGAAGGUAGCACCCUCGGGUGUGUUAUAGCCUGCCGUCGCAUACAUCGGGUGAGACUGAGGAAUGCAGCUCGCCUUUAUGGCCGGGGUUCGCCCACGUCCGAGCUUAGGAUGUUGACAUAAUGGCUUUAAACGACCCGUCUUGAACCACGGACCAAA